GUUGAACGCUGGCGGCAUGCCUUACACAUGCGAGUCGAACGGCAGCACGGGUGCUUGCACCUGGUGGCGAGUGGCGAACGGGUGAGUAAUACAUCGGAACAUGUCCUGUAGUGGGGGAUAGCCCGGCGAAAGCCGGAUUAAUACCGCAUACGAUCUACGGAUGAAAGCGGGGGACCUUCGGGCCUCGCGCUAUAGGGUUGGCCGAUGGCUGAUUAGCUAGUUGGUGGGGUAAAGGCCUACCAAGGCGACGAUCAGUAGCUGGUCUGAGAGGACGACCAGCCACACUGGGACUGAGACACGGCCCAGACUCCUACGGGAGGCAGCAGUGGGGAAUUUUGGACAAUGGGCGAAAGCCUGAUCCAGCAAUGCCGCGUGUGUGAAGAAGGCCUUCGGGUUGUAAAGCACUUUUGUCCGGAAAGAAAUCCUUGGCCCUAAUACGGUCGGGGGAUGACGGUACCGGAAGAAUAAGCACCGGCUAACUACGUG
This 486-nucleotide ribosomal RNA is filed under the name uncultured bacterium. Its description in RNAcentral is "partial 16S ribosomal RNA". It matches the Rfam family "Bacterial small subunit ribosomal RNA", at positions 28 to 507 of the family's 1533-position model. The record is from RNAcentral.